Molecule: unclassified non-coding RNA, 1012 nt
Filed under: Hevea brasiliensis (rubber tree)
Lineage: Eukaryota; Viridiplantae; Streptophyta; Magnoliopsida; Malpighiales; Euphorbiaceae
Source: RNAcentral
CAACAGAAAUACGACUGAAUCAAUCUGCCCAUGAUAUCUACAGAACUCCAACAAUACCUUGUCUCUGGUUCUUGUUCUUUCCAAAUAACAUGAAAUUACAAAUCCAACAAACUGGUGUCCUUUUUGACAAUCAUGGAAUUCACAAGUUACCUACUCAAGGAUAAUCAGACAAUUCACAAUUUAUUACUUAGAAAGAAUGAGUACCUUCCGAUGCCUCUUUUAAUAGAACCCAUUGUUUUGCCACCAUCUCGAGAGCGACUACCUUCUGGAAAUAUGUGCACCCAUCCACCACGGUUCAAUUUUGAAAUAGCCAUGUCCAUCCCCUUCUGAUAAAUACCGUCCCCACGGGACACAGGAAGAACUUUGACAUGUUUGAAGAAGGCAGAUGUGACAGGAUUGCGGAAACAUCGAUCAGUUGCACAAAGUGUCCAUCUCAAAUUUUGUGCAUCCAAAAUAACACUGGGAGGAAGUAAUGCAGCAAUAACUAGUGGGUCAUCCAUAGCAGCAACAUGAUUGCUCACUGUAAUAAGUGGUUUAUUCUCCAUUCGAUUUUCCAGCACCUGAUGUAAUUUUUCUGCACCAUAUAUCUGAACACGAUUGAGGCCAUGCAUAAACACAUGACAAACAUUUCCAAGCACAGGAACAGCCACAGCCUGCAGCAUGCGAGUCAGGACUGAAUCUGCUUCUGGAUCAAUAUCCUUGCUAACUUUCUUACGGUAGAAAGUGGAAGAAGAAGGCAGCGUAUCUCUACGGAAAUCGCUGAACCGUUGGAUCCAGCGUUCGACGGUAGAUGAUAAGUAACCAUCAUAGAUCUUCGGACGGCGACGAUGAUGAUCGACGGCGACUCUAAGACGGUCUCUAAGACGAAGCUGCAGCGAUCGUGCCCUAUCUUUCCAUAGAUCCGCUCCAGUUUCUAUCCACCUCCCUGAAACCAUUCUCAAUUAAUUCUUGCAAUGGUUAUACAUAUUGUGGUGAAGAUUAUCGUAAGCGAAGCGCGAGAAUAGUGAGAGGA